GUGAACGCUGGCGGCAGGCCUAACACAUGCAAGUCGAACGGUAGAGGGGCAACCCUUGAGAGUGGCGAACGGGUGAGUAAUAUAUCGGAACGUGCCCAGUCGUGGGGGAUAACGCAGCGAAAGCUGCGCUAAUACCGCAUACGAUCUAUGGAUGAAAGCGGGGGAUCGCAAGACCUCGCGCGAUUGGAGCGGCCGAUAUCAGAUUAGGUAGUUGGUGGGGUAAAAGCCCACCAAGCCGACGAUCUGUAGCUG
RNAcentral lists this ribosomal RNA (252 nucleotides) under uncultured bacterium. Its description in RNAcentral is "partial 16S ribosomal RNA". It matches the Rfam family "Bacterial small subunit ribosomal RNA", at positions 29 to 289 of the family's 1533-position model. The record is from RNAcentral.